RNAcentral lists this ribosomal RNA (433 nucleotides) under uncultured bacterium. RNAcentral's name for it is "partial 16S ribosomal RNA". It matches the Rfam family "Bacterial small subunit ribosomal RNA", at positions 29 to 507 of the family's 1533-position model. The record is from RNAcentral.
AGCGAACGCUGGCGGCAGGCUUAACACAUGCAAGUCGAGCGGACCUUUCGGGGUCAGCGGCGGACGGGUGAGUAACGCGUGGGAACGUGCCUUCCGGUUCGGAAUAACCCUGGGAAACUAGGGCUAAUACCGGAUACGCCCUUAUGGGGAAAGGUUUACUGCCGGAAGAUCGGCCCGCGUCUGAUUAGCUAGUUGGUGGGGUAACGGCCUACCAAGGCGACGAUCAGUAGCUGGUCUGAGAGGAUGAUCAGCCACACUGGGACUGAGACACGGCCCAGACUCCUACGGGAGGCAGCAGUGGGGAAUAUUGGACAAUGGGCGCAAGCCUGAUCCAGCCAUGCCGCGUGAGUGAUGAAGGCCUUAGGGUUGUAAAGCUCUUUUAUCCGGGACGAUAGUGACGGUACCGGAGGAAUAAGCCCCGGCUAACUUCGUG